This 490-nucleotide ribosomal RNA is filed under the name uncultured bacterium. RNAcentral describes it as "bacterial SSU rRNA". It matches the Rfam family "Bacterial small subunit ribosomal RNA", at positions 501 to 992 of the family's 1533-position model. The record is from RNAcentral.
CUACGUGCCAGCAGCCGCGGUAAUACGGAGGGUGCGAGCGUUAAUCGGAAUAACUGGGCGUAAAGGGCACGCAGGCGGUGACUUAAGUGAGGUGUGAAAGCCCCGGGCUUAACCUGGGAAUUGCAUUUCAUACUGGGUCGCUAGAGUACUUUAGGGAGGGGUAGAAUUCCACGUAUAGCGGUGAAAUGCGUAGAGAUGUGGAGGAAUACCGAAGGCGAAGGCAGCCCCUUGGGAAUGUACUGACGCUCAUGUGCGAAAGCGUGGGGAGCAAACAGGAUUAGAUACCCUGGUAGUCCACGCUGUAAACGAUGUCGAUUUGGGGGUUGAACUUUGAGUUUGGCGCCCGUAGCUAACGUGAUAAAUCGACCGCCUGGGGAGUACGGCCGCAAGGUUAAAACUCAAAUGAAUUGACGGGGGCCCGCACAAGCGGUGGAGCAUGUGGUUUAAUUCGAUGCAACGCGAAGAACCUUACCUACUCUUGACAUCCAGA